UACGGGGGGGGCAAGCGUUGUUCGGAAUUACUGGGCGUAAAGGGCUCGUAGGUGGCCAACUAAGUCAGACGUGAAAUCCCUCGGCUUAACCGGGGAACUGCGUCUGAUACUGGAUGGCUUGAGUUCGGGAGAGGGAUGCGGAAUUCCAGGUGUAGCGGUGAAAUGCGUAGAUAUCAGGAGGAACACCGGUGGCGAAGGCGGCUAUCUGGACAGAAACUGACGCUGAGGCGCGAAAGCUAGGGGAGCAAACAGG
RNAcentral lists this ribosomal RNA (253 nucleotides) under uncultured bacterium. Its description in RNAcentral is "partial 16S ribosomal RNA". It matches the Rfam family "Bacterial small subunit ribosomal RNA", at positions 524 to 776 of the family's 1533-position model. The record is from RNAcentral.